GACAGCAGCAGCCGCGGUAAUACGAAGGGGGCUAGCGUUGUUCGGAAUUACUGGGCGUAAAGCGUACGUAGGCGGCUUUGUAAGUUAGAGGUGAAAGCCUGGUGCUCAACGCCAGAACUGCCUUUAAGACUGCAUCGCUUGAACGUCGGAGAGGUGAGUGGAACUGCGAGUGUAGAGGUGAAAUUCGUAGAUAUUCGCAAGAACACCAGUGGCGAAGGCGGCUCACUGGCUCGAUUCUGACGCUGAGGUGCGAAAGCGUGGGGAGCAAACAGGAUUAGAGACCCCUGUAGUCCCUGUCUCUUAUAC
Molecule: ribosomal RNA, 306 nt
Filed under: uncultured bacterium
Lineage: Bacteria
Description: partial 16S ribosomal RNA
Rfam family: Bacterial small subunit ribosomal RNA
Source: RNAcentral